GCGGACGUGGUGCACGGUGCACUCCUUCAUCUCAUAAAACGGUCUUGAAGGUGUUGAGGGCUGUCGGGGUUCGACUCCCCGCGUCUGCA
Molecule: non-coding RNA, 89 nt
Organism: Mycena leptocephala
Lineage: Eukaryota; Fungi; Basidiomycota; Agaricomycetes; Agaricales; Mycenaceae
Source: the annotation of a GenBank genome assembly